RNAcentral lists this ribosomal RNA (620 nucleotides) under Ciliophora sp. Its description in RNAcentral is "SSU rRNA". It matches the Rfam family "Eukaryotic small subunit ribosomal RNA", at positions 341 to 980 of the family's 1831-position model. Lineage: Eukaryota; Ciliophora. The record is from RNAcentral.
CUACCAUGGCAGUCACGGGUAACGGAGAAUUAGGGUUCGAUUCCGGAGAGGGAGCCUGAGAAACGGCUACCACAUCUAUGGAAGGCAGCAGGCGCGUAAAUUACCCAAUCCGGAUUCAGGGAGGUAGUGACAAGAAAUAACAACCUAUGUCCUCACGGACUGUGGAUUGUAAUGAGUUUAAUUUAAAACACUGAACGAGGAACAAUUGGAGGGCAAGUCUGGUGCCAGCAGCCGCGGUAAUUCCAGCUCCAAUAGCGUAUAUUAAAGUUGUUGCAGUUAAAAAGCUCGUAGUUGAAUUUCUAGUCAACCGUUUUCUGGCUUCACAGUCGUUAACGAUUGCCUAUCCGACAUUGAACUAUAAUGGUUAUUAAGUUAACCUUAUAGCGAACUGUCAUUUUACUUUGAAAAAAUUAGAGUGUUUCAGGCAGGCAAUUGCCCGAAUAUCUUAGCAUGGAAUAAUGGAAUAGGACUUUGGUUCAUUUGAUUGGUUAUUGAAUCAGAGUAAUGAUUAAUAGGGACAGUUGGGGGCAUUAGUAUUUAAUUGUCAGAGGUGAAAUUCUUGGAUUUAUUAGAGACUAACUUAUGCGAAAGCAUUUGCCAAGGAUGUUUUCAUUAAUCAA